Ostrea edulis (European flat oyster) is the source of this 968-nucleotide long non-coding RNA. RefSeq lists it as uncharacterized. The transcript is spliced from 4 exons. The record is from RefSeq and is a predicted model, not a curated record. NCBI's taxonomy places the organism in Eukaryota, Metazoa, Mollusca, Bivalvia, Ostreida, Ostreidae.
GGUCAAAUGAAAGUGAAGGAUAUUGAAUCAUGAUGUACACACUACACGUACUAACUCUGGCAAUAUGCAUUGGACUCUGCUAUACUUUCAUGAUCAAGGAAAUCAUUUAUCAACAAAGAAUGUGUGAUACAGCAAAUGAUUGCUAUGACAACGAAUGUUGCGUUUCGAACGUCCAGCCAAUCGGAAAACGACAAAUUAGGCACAACAAUGGACACUGUAUUCCUAUGGGACGUAUUGGGGAUGACUUUUGAUCCGCACCCGCAAUCUGCGCAAGAUGUAUGGUUAAGUUCGGCAACACGACAUCCAGACCAAGUCACAUGGUCCUUGCCUGUCCCUGUACUCCAGGAUUGUAUUGUCACGGUGAUCACAGAUACGAAGUACCCUUGGGAGAAAUAGGUCACUGUUCCACUCCCUGAGCUGUGUAUCUACUUCCAUUAAAACUGGAACGAGUGAAAGACCCAUUAAACAUACUUAUUGUCUUCGUAAAACUGACCCUAAUGCCGAAUACAAAACAGCUAAACUGGACCGAGUUCCAUACUUUUUGAUAUUUAUUAAUAUCAUUCCACACUACAAAUAUUUUCCGUUUAUCAUAUAAAAGAUUUCUACCGCCCCAUUUCCAGUUCUGGAGGUUGAGAAAAUACAGUACGAUAUGUAUGACCUGGAGAAAGGAAGGGAGUUAGAACAACCUCUGGGCAGAGUCUAGAACAUAAUCCAGUCAGAGUUCUCGGAAAAAAAUAUCCGUUUCAAUUUUAAACUUUGAAACUUUUAUUUCACUUUUUGGCCUCACAUGAGGCAUAAAAGUACAAACAUAUAAAACAGUAACAGACAGGCAAUGGAUGAGUAAAAAGUAACAUACGUACAGUACAAUUGUCAGGCUGCUAGUGGAAGGAUUAUCAUUUUUUGAAUAUUGACAUUACAAUUCUACAAAAUUUGGCCAAGAAUGAAUCUGUCAUCACUAUAAAAUAAAU